GAUGAACGCUGGCGGCGUGCUUAACACAUGCAAGUCGAACGAAGCGCCUUAUUUGAUUUUCUUCGGAAUUGAAGAUUUGGUGACUGAGUGGCGGACGGGUGAGUAACGCGUGGGUAACCUGCCCUGUACAGGGGGAUAACAAUCAGAAAUGACUGCUAAUACCGCAUAAGACCACAGCACCGCAUGGUGCAGGGGUAAAAACUCCGGUGGUACAGGAUGGACCCGCGUCUGAUUAGCUGGUUGGUGAGGUAACGGCUCACCAAGGCGACGAUCAGUAGCCGGCUUGAGAGAGUGAACGGCCACAUUGGGACUGAGACACGGCCCAAACUCCUACGGGAGGCAGCAGUGGGGAAUAUUGCACAAUGGGGGGAACCCUGAUGCAGCGACGCCGCGUGAGUGAAGAAGUAUCUCGGUAUGUAAAGCUCUAUCAGCAGGGAAGAAAAUGACGGUACCUGACUAAGAAGCCCCGGCU
Molecule: ribosomal RNA, 472 nt
Filed under: uncultured bacterium
Lineage: Bacteria
Description: bacterial SSU rRNA
Rfam family: Bacterial small subunit ribosomal RNA
Source: RNAcentral